CUUGCAAAACAGGUCCUUAGUGCUAUAUAAGAUAACACAGCUUAAGGUUUGAAAAAUAACAGAAUACAAAGAGAAAGAUAGUAGAGAGGGUGAGGAAGGGGGGAGAGAGAGAAAUGGAAGGAGUCAGAAAGAGUCAUCGAUUGUUAAGGGGAGGAGUGAGCAGAAGUUAUAACCAUGGCUUCUCUUCAUCUCAGAUUCAAUCAUUAGCUGCUGUAUGUGAAGCCCUAAUACCUCCAAUGCUGAAGGAAGGUGGAAGCAGCGACGGCGGUGGCAUUAACUGAUUUUGAUUUUGAUUUUGGGUUUGUGUUUGGGGUGGGGGUGGAGGAAGAAGAUGACUGACUUCCUUUCUUUUUUUUCUUUUUUUUUUAAUUUCUUAUUUUUUCUAAUUUAAUUUUUCACUUAUUUUAAUGUAAUAAACGGAAGUUACUAUUUUACCCUUUCAAAAAUAUUAAAAAUAUGGUCAAAGUCAAAAUUCUUAAUCAACUACCUGACAUUUGGAUGAAAACCGUCCAAAAGGGCCUCCGCCGCAACAUUUCGAAAGGUUUGGGGUGGCGGUUGCAAUAAAUUAAAAGUUUGGGAAAAGUCUGCUAAUAUUUUAAAGAUUUGGAGCGUCUACUGCAAUAUUCCCUUCCAAUAAUUACAUAUCUGAUUUGACCUAUGGAUGAACAUGCUUCCUUUGUAUCUCACAUGGUUUCUAUUUGGAUCGGAAUUCGUUUGAUGGUUCGAGAGUAGUUUCAAAUAUUUGUCACAUCCUCAGUGCAGUCCUUGCUCAUCAUCCACGGGCCCUAUCUUCAAGUAACUAUGUUUCAUAAUAGCAUUUGUAAGGACUAUCAAUACAUUAAAUAAUAAUAAUAAUAAAUAAAACGUAGUCUUUUGACUAUGGUAAAACUAAAACCUAAUUACUUGGACCAAAUGAAAUAUAGGCAAGACAAGAAUUAGAGGAAAGUUAGGAAAUCAUAAGACUAAUCUCAGCCACGCAAAUGCAUUGCUGUAAAGCAUUACCAUUCCAAAUACUUAUAAAUAAACUGAAAGUAAUUUUACCAAAAAAACAAUUACAAAUUAUUCUUCUUCACUUCUGUAAGUUCCCCUCAGCCUGAUGCAUCAUUUUGCAGUUAAAAACAACCUUAUUGAUACAAAUGCAGAGACAACCAAACUAGAUUUUAAAGGCAGUGAUUCCACCCCUCUUUGUCCUAAGCCUCGUCGGCUCAGGUCAGCCUUGCCUGAAUAUCUUAAUCCUCUCAAAUGCAGCAAGAACAGGUUAAUUUAAUGAGUUAAUCAAACUUAUUUUUUGGGUUAUUAUAAUUUAUAAGGAAAUAAGGAAUUUCUCUAAUUAUUUGUUUGUGCAAUGUCAUGAUCAGCAAGCCAAAUUCUGAUGCAAGAAGUGGGGUUCCAUACAUGCUUGCAGAAAAGGUUCUUUCUAAUUAUAUCCAUGUUAAUUUUUGAACCUCGAGCUUGGUGCUCAGGGUUC
RNAcentral lists this long non-coding RNA (1468 nucleotides) under Olea europaea subsp. europaea. The record is from RNAcentral. Lineage: Eukaryota; Viridiplantae; Streptophyta; Magnoliopsida; Lamiales; Oleaceae.